This 1370-nucleotide ribosomal RNA is filed under the name uncultured bacterium. Its description in RNAcentral is "bacterial SSU rRNA". It matches the Rfam family "Bacterial small subunit ribosomal RNA", at positions 28 to 1381 of the family's 1533-position model. The record is from RNAcentral.
GAUGAACGCUGGCGGCGUGCCUAAUACAUGCAAGUCGAGCGAACGGACGAGAAGCUUGCUUCUCUGAUGUUAGCGGCGGACGGGUGAGUAACACGUGGAUAACCUACCUAUAAGACUGGGAUAACUUCGGGAAACCGGAGCUAAUACCGGAUAAUAUUUUGAACCGCAUGGUUCAAAAGUGAAAGACGGUCUUGCUGUCACUUAUAGAUGGAUCCGCGCUGCAUUAGCUAGUUGGUAAGGUAACGGCUUACCAAGGCAACGAUGCAUAGCCGACCUGAGAGGGUGAUCGGCCACACUGGAACUGAGACACGGUCCAGACUCCUACGGGAGGCAGCAGUAGGGAAUCUUCCGCAAUGGGCGAAAGCCUGACGGAGCAACGCCGCGUGAGUGAUGAAGGUCUUCGGAUCGUAAAACUCUGUUAUUAGGGAAGAACAUAUGUGUAAGUAACUGUGCACAUCUUGACGGUACCUAAUCAGAAAGCCACGGCUAACUACGUGCCAGCAGCCGCGGUAAUACGUAGGUGGCAAGCGUUAUCCGGAAUUAUUGGGCGUAAAGCGCGCGUAGCGGUUUUUUAGUCUGAUGUGAAAGCCCACGGCUCAACCGUGGAGGGUCAUUGGAAACUGGAAAACUUGAGUGCAGAAGAGGAAAGUGGAAUUCCAUGUGUAGCGGUGAAAUGCGCAGAGAUAUGGAGGAACACCAGUGGCGAAGGCGACUUUCUGGUCUGUAACUGACGCUGAUGUGCGAAAGCGUGGGGAUCAAACAGGAUUAGAUACCCUGGUAGUCCACGCCGUAAACGAUGAGUGCUAAGUGUUAGGGGGUUUCCGCCCCUUAGUGCUGCAGCUAACGCAUUAAGCACUCCGCCUGGGGAGUACGACCGCAAGGUUGAAACUCAAAGGAAUUGACGGGGACCCGCACAAGCGGUGGAGCAUGUGGUUUAAUUCGAAGCAACGCGAAGAACCUUACCAAAUCUUGACAUCCUUUGACAACUCUAGAGAUAGAGCUUUCCCCUUCGGGGGACAAAGUGACAGGUGGUGCAUGGUUGUCGUCAGCUCGUGUCGUGAGAUGUUGGGUUAAGUCCCGCAACGAGCGCAACCCUUAAGCUUAGUUGCCAUCAUUAAGUUGGGCACUCUAAGUUGACUGCCGGUGACAAACCGGAGGAAGGUGGGGAUGACGUCAAAUCAUCAUGCCCCUUAUGAUUUGGGCUACACACGUGCUACAAUGGACAAUACAAAGGGCAGCGAAACCGCGAGGUCAAGCAAAUCCCAUAAAGUUGUUCUCAGUUCGGAUUGUAGUCUGCAACUCGACUACAUGAAGCUGGAAUCGCUAGUAAUCGUAGAUCAGCAUGCUACGGUGAAUACGUUCCCGGGUCU